RNAcentral lists this ribosomal RNA (305 nucleotides) under uncultured bacterium. RNAcentral describes it as "bacterial SSU rRNA". It matches the Rfam family "Bacterial small subunit ribosomal RNA", at positions 337 to 659 of the family's 1533-position model. The record is from RNAcentral.
GCCUACGGGAGGCAGCAGUGGGGGAUAUUGCACAAUGGGGGGAACCCUGAUGCAGCGACGCCGCGUGGGCGAUGGAGUGCUUCGGCAUGUAAAGCCCUAUCAGCAGGGAAGAAAAUGACGGUACCUGACUAAGAAGCCCCGGCUAACUACGUGCCAGCAGCCGCGGUAAUACGUAGGGGGCAAGCGUUAUCCGGAUUUACUGGGUGUAAAGGGAGCGUAGACGGCAUGGCAAGUCUGAAGUGAAAGCCCGGGGCUCAACCGCGGGACUGCUUUGGAAACUGUUAAGCUGGAGUGCAGGAGAGGUA